UAGCUCAGCUGGGAGAGCGCCUGCCUUGCACGCAGGAGGUCUGCGGUUCGAUCCCACA
RNAcentral lists this transfer RNA (58 nucleotides) under Vibrio parahaemolyticus. Its description in RNAcentral is "tRNA-Ala". It matches the Rfam family "tRNA", at positions 8 to 63 of the family's 71-position model. Rfam says of the family: Transfer RNA (tRNA) molecules are approximately 80 nucleotides in length. Their secondary structure includes four short double-helical elements and three loops (D, anti-codon, and T loops). Further hydrogen bonds mediate the characteristic L-shaped molecular structure. tRNAs have two regions of fundamental functional importance: the anti-codon, which is responsible for specific mRNA codon recognition, and the 3' end, to which the tRNAs corresponding amino acid is attached (by aminoacyl-tRNA synthetases). tRNAs cope with the degeneracy of the genetic code in two manners: having more than one tRNA (with a specific anti-codon) for a particular amino acid; and 'wobble' base-pairing, i.e. permitting non-standard base-pairing at the 3rd anti-codon position. Lineage: Bacteria; Pseudomonadati; Pseudomonadota; Gammaproteobacteria; Vibrionales; Vibrionaceae. The record is from RNAcentral.